ACUAGUCUGGGAUACCACUUGGAAACAGGUGCUAAUACCGGAUAAGAAAGCGGAUCGCAUGAUCAGCUUUUAAAAGGCGGCGUAAGCUGUCGCUAUGGGAUGGCCCCGCGGUGCAUUAGCUAGUUGGUAAGGUAAAGGCUUACCAAGGCGAUGAUGCAUAGCCGAGUUGAGAGACUGAUCGGCCACAUUGGGACUGAGACACGGCCCAAACUCCUACGGGAGGCAGCAGUG
Molecule: ribosomal RNA, 231 nt
Filed under: uncultured Lactobacillus sp.
Lineage: Bacteria; Bacillati; Bacillota; Bacilli; Lactobacillales; Lactobacillaceae
Description: partial 16S ribosomal RNA
Rfam family: Bacterial small subunit ribosomal RNA
Source: RNAcentral